Raphanus sativus (radish) is the source of this 1051-nucleotide RNA transcript. It is a transcript of the gene named ras-related protein RABE1c-like, with no coding region annotated. NCBI's taxonomy places the organism in Eukaryota, Viridiplantae, Streptophyta, Magnoliopsida, Brassicales, Brassicaceae. The transcript has 9 exons. The record is from RefSeq and is a predicted model, not a curated record.
GGCGUAUAAUAAACAAACAAACAAACAGGAGGAAAGCAAAAGACAAAUAAAAUCAAAGGCAGGCGUAUUUUAGCCGUCCGCCAUUUCCAUCGCUCUCUCUCUCGUUUUCUCUGCUCAUCACUAUAACGACGGCCUCUCUUCUGCAUCAUCUGAUCUGAUUUCGAUGGCUGCACCACCUGCUAGGGCAAGAGCCGAUUACGAUUACCUCAUCAAGCUUCUCCUUAUCGGUGACAGCGGUGUUGGUAAAAGUUGUUUGCUGUUGAGGUUCUCUGAUGGCUCUUUCACCACUAGCUUCAUCACCACCAUUGGGAUUGAUUUUAAGAUAAGAACUAUUGAGCUUGAUGGCAAACGCAUCAAGCUUCAGAUUUGGGAUACUGCUGGUCAAGAACGUUUUCGAACCAUCACCACUGCUUAUUACAGAGGGGCAAUGGGCAUUUUGCUGGUGUAUGAUGUCACAGACGAGUCAUCCUUCAACAACAUUAGGAACUGGAUUCGUAACAUCGAGCAGCACGCUUCCGAUAAUGUCAACAAGAUCUUAGUAGGGAACAAAGCCGAUAUGGACGAGAGCAAGAGGGCCGUACCAAAAGCAAAGGGUCAAGCACUUGCUGAUGAAUACGGAAUCAAGUUCUUUGAAACUAGUGCCAAAACAAAUUUAAAUGUGGAGGAAGUUUUCUUCUCGAUAGCAAAGGACAUUAAGCAGAGACUCGCAGAUACUGACUCCAGGGCAGAGCCUUCGACGAUUAGGAUCAGCCAAACAGACCAGGCUGCUGGAGCCGGACAGGCUACGCAGAAGUCUGCUUGCUGUGGAACUUAAAAAGUCCCAAAGAAUUUCUGAAGGUGAAAAAGAAAAACUGAUUGUUCUUGGCUGCGUUUGUAGUUCUUUUUUACUUUGAUGAUGAUUUGAUUUGGUUUUAAGUUGGCAUUCUUAGCUUGUUAUGAUGGUAAUAGAAUCUUGAAGAAAUCGUUCACUCUCAGAUAGAUUCCAUCUCUUAAUUUGAUUCUGUGGCAACAUUGUUAAAACUCAAAUCUCGUUAUUGUCUUUUGCUUUCUC